This 593-nucleotide ribosomal RNA is filed under the name Wickerhamomyces sp. RNAcentral's name for it is "partial large subunit ribosomal RNA". It matches the Rfam family "Eukaryotic large subunit ribosomal RNA", at positions 52 to 656 of the family's 3401-position model. The record is from RNAcentral. Lineage: Eukaryota; Fungi; Ascomycota; Saccharomycetes; Phaffomycetales; Wickerhamomycetaceae.
GGAGGAAAAGAAACCAACAGGGAUUGCCUCAGUAACGGCGAGUGAAGCGGCAAAAGCUCAAAUUUGAAAUCUAGUACCUUCGGUGCUCGAGUUGUAAUUUGAAGAUGGCGACUUUGGGAGUGGCCUUUAUCUAUGUUCCUUGGAACAGGACGUCACAGAGGGUGAGAAUCCCGUCUGAUGAGGUGAUCCACUCCUUUGUAAAGUGCUAUCGAAGAGUCGAGUUGUUUGGGAAUGCAGCUCUAAGUGGGUGGUAAAUUCCAUCUAAAGCUAAAUAUUGGCGAGAGACCGAUAGCGAACAAGUACAGUGAUGGAAAGAUGAAAAGAACUUUGAAAAGAGAGUGAAAAAGUACGUGAAAUUGUUGAAAGGGAAGGGUAUUAGAUCAGACUUGGCGUUGUGUGAUUAUCUUCCCCUUGUGGGUUGUGCACUCGUGCUUCGCUGGGCCAGCAUCGAUUCGUGUGGCAGGAUAAUAGCAUUGGAACGUGGCUGCGCUUCUGUGUAGUGUUAUAGCCUUUGUUGAUACUGCCUAUGUGGAUCGAGGACUGCGUCUUUUUGACUAGGAUGCUGGCGUAAUGAUCUAAUAUCGCCCGUCUUG